This 143-nucleotide small RNA is filed under the name Rhizobium metallidurans. RNAcentral's name for it is "Alphaproteobacterial sRNA ar35". It matches the Rfam family "Alphaproteobacterial sRNA ar35". Lineage: Bacteria; Pseudomonadati; Pseudomonadota; Alphaproteobacteria; Hyphomicrobiales; Rhizobiaceae. The record is from Rfam by way of RNAcentral.
AUCGGCAUUGCUGGUCAGUGUUCCACACAGCGGACGCUCGCGGUUGCCGGUAUCGCUUUUAUGCUUUUGACCACGGAUGUACUGGCACUGGUGUGAGAUGCGAAUAGGAAGGUCGGUGCGGUUUCGCCCCGGCCUUUUUUAUU